GCUGAAAAAAGUGGCCAAAAAUGGAUGAAAAGUUAAGACUUUUUAUCCAUUUUUGGCCACUUUUUUCGGCUUUGAAAAAGUGGCCAAAAAUGGCGAAAAAGUAAGGCUAUAGCCUUAAUUUUAGCGUCCGAGAGGAGAAAGGGUUAAUAAAAAGAAUGGAAUAAAAAAGAAGUUAAAGCAAGUGCAGGUGAGACGGUCUAGUGGUAAGGAUAAAGUGUUGCAAGUGGCUGAUGCCAGAUUCGAGUCGCGGUUGUCCCAUGAGCAUUUUAGCGUCGGGUGUCGUUGUUAAUUAAUUCCACGCGAGAGGAGAAAGGGUUAAGUGGAAUAAAAAAGAAGUUAAAGCAAGUGCAGGCGAGACGGUGUAGUGGUAAGGACCAAAGUGUUGCAAGUGGCUGGUGCCAGGUUCGAGUCGCUGUUGUGCCAAGUGAAUUUUAGCAUUGGGCGUCGUUGUUAAUUAAUUCCACCCGAGAGGAGAAAGGGUUAAGUGGAAUAAGAAAGAAGUUAAAGCAACUGCAGGCGAGACGGUCUAGUGGUAAGGACCAAAGUGUUGCAAGUGGUUGGUGCCAGGUUCGAGUCGCGGUUGUGCCAAGAGUAAUUUAGCGUUGGGCGUCGUUGUUAAUUAAUUCCAACCGGGAGGAGAAAGGGUUAAGUGGAAUAAGAAAGAAGUUAAAGCAAGUGCAGGCGAGACGGUGUAG
Molecule: non-coding RNA, 695 nt
Organism: Paramuricea clavata
Lineage: Eukaryota; Metazoa; Cnidaria; Anthozoa; Malacalcyonacea; Plexauridae
Source: the annotation of a GenBank genome assembly